GACGAACGCUGGCGGCGUGCUUAACACAUGCAAGUCGAACGGAAAGGCCCUGCUUUUGUGGGGUGCUCGAGUGGCGAACGGGUGAGUAACACGUGAGUAACCUGCCCUUGACUUUGGGAUAACUUCAGGAAACUGGGGCUAAUACCGGAUAGGAGCUCCUGCUGCAUGGUGGGGGUUGGAAAGUUUCGGCGGUUGGGGAUGGACUCGCGGCUUAUCAGCUUGUUGGUGGGGUAGUGGCUUACCAAGGCUUUGACGGGUAGCCGGCCUGAGAGGGUGACCGGCAACAUUGGGACUGAGAUACGGCCCAGACUCCUACGGGGGGCAGAAGGGGGGAAUAGUGCAGAAGGGGCGGAGGCGGGAUGCAGCAACGCCGCGUGCGGGAGGACGGCUUUCGGGUUGUAACCCGCUUCCGCCUGUGAAGAAGGGUGAGGGACGGGAAGGAGUAAAGAAGCACCGGCUAACCACGUG
Molecule: ribosomal RNA, 468 nt
Filed under: uncultured bacterium
Lineage: Bacteria
Description: partial 16S ribosomal RNA
Rfam family: Bacterial small subunit ribosomal RNA
Source: RNAcentral